UGCGGAGUAAAGCAGUCUGGUAGCUCUCAAGGCUCAUAACCUUGAAGACACAGGUUCGAAUCCCGUCUCCGCCA
RNAcentral lists this transfer RNA (74 nucleotides) under Callitris rhomboidea. RNAcentral's name for it is "tRNA-Met". It matches the Rfam family "tRNA". From Rfam's summary of the family: Transfer RNA (tRNA) molecules are approximately 80 nucleotides in length. Their secondary structure includes four short double-helical elements and three loops (D, anti-codon, and T loops). Further hydrogen bonds mediate the characteristic L-shaped molecular structure. tRNAs have two regions of fundamental functional importance: the anti-codon, which is responsible for specific mRNA codon recognition, and the 3' end, to which the tRNAs corresponding amino acid is attached (by aminoacyl-tRNA synthetases). tRNAs cope with the degeneracy of the genetic code in two manners: having more than one tRNA (with a specific anti-codon) for a particular amino acid; and 'wobble' base-pairing, i.e. permitting non-standard base-pairing at the 3rd anti-codon position. The record is from RNAcentral. Lineage: Eukaryota; Viridiplantae; Streptophyta; Pinopsida; Cupressales; Cupressaceae.